UGGGGAAUAUUGGGCAAUGGGCGCAAGCCUGACCCAGCAACGCCGCGUGAAGGAAGAAGGCUUUCGGGUUGUAAACUUCUUUUCUUGGGGACGAAGAAAGUGACGGUACCCAAGGAAUAAGCCACGGCUAACUACGUGCCAGCAGCCGCGGUAAUACGUAGGUGGCAAGCGUUAUCCGGAUUUAUUGGGUGUAAAGGGCGUGUAGGCGGGAAUGCAAGUCAGAUGUGAAAACUAUGGGCUCAACCCAUAGCCUGCAUUUUGAAACUGUAUUUCUUGAGUGCUGGAGAGGCAAUCGGAAUUCCGUGUGUAGCGGUGAAAUGCGUAGAUAUACGGAGGAACACCAGUGGCGAAGGCGGAUUGCUGGACAGUAACUGACGCUGAGGCGCGAAAGCGUGGGGAGCAAACAGGAUUAGAUACC
RNAcentral lists this ribosomal RNA (418 nucleotides) under uncultured bacterium. Its description in RNAcentral is "bacterial SSU rRNA". It matches the Rfam family "Bacterial small subunit ribosomal RNA", at positions 355 to 786 of the family's 1533-position model. The record is from RNAcentral.